CAGAAUUUGAAAAAGAAAGAAACACGCCUAUUCCACCCAAACCUCCAUCAAAUUUCAAAGCAUUAAAAAAGAGAAAAGAAAGCAAAAACUCUUGCUCGAAGAAAAGCCUUAAAGAACAAGAAGGAAAAAAAAUAAACGUUUACUUAAAGAGGAUCAUCGGUGCGCUUCUUGCCGUCGGCCACGUCUUCACUUCUCUUCGUUCGCGUUUUUU
Long non-coding RNA from Apis dorsata (giant honeybee), 211 nucleotides. RefSeq lists it as uncharacterized. The record is from RefSeq and is a predicted model, not a curated record. The transcript has 3 exons. NCBI's taxonomy places the organism in Eukaryota, Metazoa, Arthropoda, Insecta, Hymenoptera, Apidae.